This 798-nucleotide long non-coding RNA is filed under the name Sorghum bicolor (sorghum). RNAcentral's name for it is "long non-coding RNA (SBIC_LNC018012)". Lineage: Eukaryota; Viridiplantae; Streptophyta; Magnoliopsida; Poales; Poaceae. The record is from RNAcentral.
GGAGGGAUUAAAAAUUACCGCUUUAGGUCAGAUGUACCUUCCCCACCUUCUCAUACUGCCGUAGGAGGUCCAGCUUCACUCCUUCCUAAGCGUAAACCCCUGACUGAAGAAGAAAUUGAGGCUAUUAUGGUAUGCCUUUUGUUCACAGAAGCUGAAUAUAAAUGCAAAUGCUAUGUUUGGUCUUAGCAUUUGGUUUAUUGAAUUAAUUCAUUUUGUUGGAUUUCAAUCCAUAUGAAUUAUGCAUCAAAUUUGCAUAUUGUUUAUAAUGUUGUCAUUUGGCAUGCAUGGAACUUAAAGGUUAAAGUACAGUCUUAAUGAUAAUAGCAAAAUGCAUGCUUAAUCCAGUUGGAAAAACUUAGUUUGUUGCUUAAAAUCUUGUCAUUUAAUGUUUAGAGCAGUGUUUUUAAGGCGUCGCUUAGGCGUCGGGGCGCUCGAGGCUCGCCUUAGGGGUAAGGCGGCGCCUUGUCGCCUUAUGCACAUGCUGAUGCCCCCUCGAUUCCGCCGUCUCCUCAUCGAUUCUGAUGCGGGUCCUCUCUAUUCCCCUGUCUCCUCGCCGCCGUCAACUCGAUUCUGCCUUCUUCUCGCCACCGGCUGCUCGAUCUGGAAAGGGACGGGAGUGGCUGCAGAUCUGGAAGGGGAGCAGCGAGGGAGGGGAGCAGAGCAGCGCAUCCGAAGAGAGGGGAGGAGCCGCGGACGGAAGCGGAGCUGCAGAGGGAAGUGGGGCGGAGAGACGAGCGGAGGCGGACGAGUGGUGGAGAAUGAGCAGCAGCGCUGGAGGGGAUUCCCAUUGGGAUAAGC